Long non-coding RNA from Suricata suricatta (meerkat), 101 nucleotides. RefSeq lists it as uncharacterized. The transcript is spliced from 3 exons. Lineage: Eukaryota; Metazoa; Chordata; Mammalia; Carnivora; Herpestidae. The record is from RefSeq and is a predicted model, not a curated record.
GGGACUGCCAACCUGGUGAGGGAGAAGACACCUCUUACUGUAGUGUCAUUAAGGGUGUAUUAGGAUAGAGAGAUAUGCUAAGAUCCUUCUCCCCAGAAAAC